GAUGAAGAACGUAGCGAAAUGCGAUAAGUAAUGUGAAUUGCAGAAUUCCGUGAAUCAUCGAAUCUUUGAACGCACAUUGCGCCCCCUGGUAUUCCGGGGGGCAUGCCUGUCCGAGCGUCAUUACAACCUUCAAGCGCGGCUUGUGUGUUGGGUCUCGUCCCCCGUGGACGGGCCCGAAAGGCAGUGGCGGCGUCCCGACAUGGUGCCCGAGCGUAUGGGAAUCCUCUUCCGCUCGAAUCGGCCCAUGCGGCGCUGGUCGUAACCAAAUUUUUUACCGGUUGACCUCGGAUCAGGUAGGGAUACCCGCUGAACUUAAGCAUAUCAAUAAGCGGAGGA
RNAcentral lists this unclassified non-coding RNA (336 nucleotides) under soil metagenome. RNAcentral describes it as "partial contains 5.8S ribosomal RNA, internal transcribed spacer 2, and large subunit ribosomal RNA". The stretch from base 1 to 120 matches the Rfam family "5.8S ribosomal RNA", at positions 35 to 154 of the family's 154-position model. The record is from RNAcentral.